Long non-coding RNA from Rhinopithecus roxellana (golden snub-nosed monkey), 693 nucleotides. RefSeq lists it as uncharacterized. The transcript has 3 exons. Lineage: Eukaryota; Metazoa; Chordata; Mammalia; Primates; Cercopithecidae. The record is from RefSeq and is a predicted model, not a curated record.
UCCCAGGGUGCGUGCGGUGCAGGGUGUGCAAGAGGAUGCGAGGUUGGAGGAGGAGCUUUAAAUGGAUUUGGACUCCUCAGGAGGAUUUGCUAAUGGUCUGAACAAGUGUAUAGAGCACUGCAAAAGAUUUGGAUACUAUUGCCCGUUUUGAUCUAUUCUGCCGAUCUCUACCAGGAACUUGAUUAAAGAUCUGAGAUGCAGUCCCUGGCCUACCCAAUCUCUUUCUUCUAAUUAUCACCAUCAUCGUCUAGAGAACUGAACCGAUGAGUAAAGAGGAUGCUGACACAUUGGAGACCAGCCAGAAAUGGGUUAAAGGGCAUGUGUUUAAGAAGCAACGAAAAUAAUUUGACAUACACAGCCUAGAAGAAAGGCAGGAAAACAAGGAUAUUUUGACUUAUAAAUAACUAAGAGAUACUAAAAAGAAAGGGAGGAGUUAUAUUGGAUAUGGUCAAAAAGAAGAUGGAGAUGUGAGAAGAAUGAAAUAAGAAAAAACCCACAGUGUAUAGAGACUAUUAAGCAAUCUUGGCAAGAAAAAUAAGAAAUUAAGUGAUAAAUAUUGAAUGUUAGGUGUCAGGCAUAUUUUAACAGUGUUACAUGUGUUACUAACUCACUUAAUUCUCCUAGCAGCCCAGUGAUGAAGGAGUUCUGUUAUCUCAAAGGAGAAAACAGUCUUGCUGAAUGAUCUCACAGUGC